ACCACUGCCAACCUAUCUAUCGCUGCUAAUCUAUCGCUGCUAAUCUAUUGCUGCUAAUCUAUCACUGCUAAUCUAUCACUGCUAAUCUAUCGCUGCUAAUCUAUCGCUGCUAAUCUAUCGCUGCCAACCUAUCUACUGCUGCCAACCUACCUACCACUGCUAAUCUAUCACUGCUGCCAAUCUAUAUAGGGUAAAUCAUGGUCCCAUUUGGUCCCAUUUUAUAAAAUGGGACCAAAUGGGACCAGGACCACUAAUUUAUUAGUAAAACAUGAUCUGGGACUAGAUUUUUAAUAUAAACAGUGUAAAGUGACUAAUUUACUAAACACUAUAUAGGACCAGGACUA
RNAcentral lists this small RNA (344 nucleotides) under Histoplasma capsulatum. RNAcentral's name for it is "hypothetical RNA". The record is from RNAcentral. Lineage: Eukaryota; Fungi; Ascomycota; Eurotiomycetes; Onygenales; Ajellomycetaceae. RNAcentral also lists the same sequence under 1 other name.